GUGGGGAAUAUUGGACAAUGGGCGCAAGCCUGAUCCAGCCAUGCCGCGUGCAGGAAGACGCAUCUAUGGUGUGUAAACUGCUUUUGUACGGGAAGAAACACUCCCUCGUGAGGGAGCUUGACGGUACCGUAAGAAUAAGGAUCGGCUAACUCCGUGCCAGCAGCCGCGGUAAUACGGAGGAUCCAAGCGUUAUCCGGAAUCAUUGGGUUUAAAGGGUCCGUAGGCGGAUUAAUAAGUCAGUGGUGAAAGCCCAUCGCUCAACGAUGGAACGGCGAUUGAUACUGUUAGGCUUGAAUUACGAGGAAGUAACUAGAAUAUGUAGUGUAGCGGUGAAAUGCUUAGAUAUUACAUGGAAUACCAAUUGCGAAGGCAGGUUACUACUUGUGGAUUGACGCUGAUGGGCGAAAGCGUGGGGAGCGAACAGGAUUAGAAACCCGGGUAGUCC
RNAcentral lists this ribosomal RNA (445 nucleotides) under uncultured bacterium. Its description in RNAcentral is "partial 16S ribosomal RNA". It matches the Rfam family "Bacterial small subunit ribosomal RNA", at positions 354 to 796 of the family's 1533-position model. The record is from RNAcentral.